UGAGGCUGAGAGCCGUCAGGCUGCGGUAUUUGUCAGGGGAGUGUCCUAUCCACCCUGACGUGUUACUGUCAAAAUAUCACGUAGGUAAUGAGCGCCUUCACCUCAACAUAUGUAGUAAAUGUACUUACUUUCCACUACAACAGUCUGUGAUGUACUUAAGAAAAAGCUGGAUUGUGACUGGACUGUCACCGGGAAAAGGAGCAAAGGAGCAUGGUACAGGGUGUGUAUAACACUGUCUCCGGUGCCUGCAAAUCAGAAAUCACUAUCAACACAACUGUGUUAGGCUUCACGUCAAUGGUGAGGCACAACUGAAGCGCCAAAUCAGCUUCAUUUUGGAUGCAAUUUUAAACUCAAACCUCAAACUAAAGGACUUAAGGAGCCAGAGUUGGAAAGUCCGAAAACAUCAUAAUGUCUUAUGAGCGGAUUCUGUCCAUUGAAAAUCUGAGUGAUGUUCCAAAUCCAUGGAAGGGAUUCACCAUGAACCGCUGCUUAGUGCUGGCACUGGCCGUACUGCUUGUGACCUCAGGGGUGAAUGAACUGCAUGAUGCUGUGGACACUUUUGUUGAGGAGACAGGUAUAAGGUCUUUCUUUGGAAGCCUGCGGGAUGGUUCAAUAACUCAGAUCUCCAUAUGGGAUAGUUUCAUGUGGUGGUGGGGAUCUGAAGAGGUUGGAGCAAUAAGAAGAAGAAAAAAGCCGAUCGGCAACAAAGCAAUCCUGAAACCCAAAACUGGAGCAUAGAACCUAUACAGCUGCUGAAAGAAGAGUGAAAGGUCGAGAAACAGAGGUCAUCAGCUGUCACAACAGCAGGUUUCUGAAUAAAGAACACAAACACUC
Toxotes jaculatrix (banded archerfish) is the source of this 834-nucleotide long non-coding RNA. RefSeq lists it as uncharacterized. The transcript is spliced from 6 exons. NCBI's taxonomy places the organism in Eukaryota, Metazoa, Chordata, Actinopteri, Toxotidae. The record is from RefSeq and is a predicted model, not a curated record.